Molecule: ribosomal RNA, 739 nt
Filed under: uncultured bacterium
Lineage: Bacteria
Description: bacterial SSU rRNA
Rfam family: Bacterial small subunit ribosomal RNA
Source: RNAcentral
CCCGAAAGGGUGCUAUUACCGCAUGUGUCCGGGCGUUCAUUCGUACGUGCAAAGCCGUAAGGCGCUUUGGGAGGGGCCUGCGUCCGAUUAGCUCGUUGGUGGGGUAACGGCUCACCAAGGCGACGAUCGGUAGGUGGUCUGAGAGGACGAUCACCCAGACUGGGACUGAGACACGGCCCAGACUCCUACGGGAGGCAGCAGUCGGGAAUAUUGCUCAAUGGGCGCAAGCCUGAAGCAGCAACGCCGCGUGAGGGAUGAAGGCCUUCGGGUUGUAAACCUCUUUCCAGGGACGAUGAUGACGGUACCUGGAGAAUAAGCCACGGCUAACUACGUGCCAGCAGCCGCGGUAAUACGUAGGUGGCAAGCGUUGUCCGGAUUUACUGGGCGUAAAGAGCGCGCAGGCGGCCAAGUCAGUCGAAUGUGAAAGCCCCCGGCUUAACUGGGGAGGGUCAUUCGAUACUGCUCGGCCCGAAGACAGGAGAGGGAAGUGGAAUCCCGGUGUAGUGGUGAAAUGCGUAGAUAUCGGGAGGAACACCAGUGGCGAAGGCGACUUUCUGGCCUGUUCUUGACGCUGAGGCGCGAAAGCUAGGGGAGCAAACGGGAUUAGAUACCCCGGUAGUCCUAGCCGUAAACGAUGGAUACUAGGUGUUGGUGGUAUCAACCCCGCCAGUGCCGUAGCUAACGCAUUAAGUAUCCCGCCUGGGGAGUACGGCCGCAAGGCUAAACUCAAAGGAAUUGA